AACCCAGACCGCCAGCUAAGGUCCCAAAGUCAUGGUUAAGUGGGAAACGAUGUGGGAAGGCCCAGACAGCCAGGAUGUUGGCUUAGAAGCAGCCAUCAUUUAAAGAAAGCGUAAUAGCUCACUGGUCGAGUCGGCCUGCGCGGAAGAUGUAACGGGGCUAAACCAUGCACCGAAGCUGCGGCAGCGACGCUUAUGCGUUGUUGGGUAGGGGAGCGUUCUGUAAGCCUGUGAAGGUGUACUGUGAGGUAUGCUGGAGGUAUCAGAAGUGCGAAUGCUGACAUAAGUAACGAUAAAGCGGGUGAAAAGCCCGCUCGCCGGAAGACCAAGGGUUCCUGUCCAACGUUAAUCGGGGCAGGGUGAGUCGACCCCUAAGGCGAGGCCGAAAGGCGUAGUCGAUGGGAAACAGGUUAAUAUUCCUGUACUUGGUGUUACUGCGAAGGGGGGACGGAGAAGGCUAUGUUGGCCGGGCGACGGUUGUCCCGGUUUAAGCGUGUAGGCUGGUUUUCCAGGCAAAUCCGGAAAAUCAAGGCUGAGGCGUGAUGACGAGGCACUACGGUGCUGAAGCAACAAAUGCCCUGCUUCCAGGAAAAGCCUCUAAGCAUCAGGUAACAUCAAAUCGUACCCCAAACCGACACAGGUGGUCAGGUAGAGAAUACCAAGGCGCUUGAGAGAACUCGGGUGAAGGAACUAGGCAAAAUGGUGCCGUAACUUCGGGAGAAGGCACGCUGAUAUGUAGGUGAAGUCCCUCGCGGAUGGAGCUGAAAUCAGUCGAAGAUACCAGCUGGCUGCAACUGUUUAUUAAAAACACAGCACUGUGCAAACACGAAAGUGGACGUAUACGGUGUGACGCCUGCCCGGUGC
RNAcentral lists this ribosomal RNA (861 nucleotides) under Escherichia coli. RNAcentral describes it as "partial 23S ribosomal RNA". It matches the Rfam family "Bacterial large subunit ribosomal RNA", at positions 1024 to 1869 of the family's 2925-position model. Lineage: Bacteria; Pseudomonadati; Pseudomonadota; Gammaproteobacteria; Enterobacterales; Enterobacteriaceae. The record is from RNAcentral.